Molecule: RNA transcript, 3606 nt
Organism: Mus musculus (house mouse)
Lineage: Eukaryota; Metazoa; Chordata; Mammalia; Rodentia; Muridae
Gene: Got1
Gene name: glutamic-oxaloacetic transaminase 1, soluble
Exons: 8
Source: RefSeq, marked validated
ACACACACAGAGAAAUAUUUAUUUGUUCUUAGCCAAACCAACAGUGUUUAGGUAACCUAGGGUUGCUUUUCUCCCUGGGAAUGACGCAGGGAGUGACCAUGACAUUGUUGCCUAACGUUGUGAAGACGACACUUCUAAAUUAAAUUCUAGGAAGGCUAGGUUGCAGAACACCCCUCCCCAGUUGCCCUUCGGCUGUGAUUUUUGGACGUACUCAAAGUGCACAGCCGAUGGACCUUCCGUAUUAGCUUGUGACUCUUAGGGGAAAACAUUAAUGAAAUGCUUUGGGCAGUUUCCUUAAAAAAACAAAACAAAACAAAAACAAGGCGAUGUUUCUGGAAAGAAAAAGACAGAAAAGCUUAGCAAGUAGUGCUCAAAGUUCGAUGGCUUUUGUUUAUCCUCUGAACCGAAAACUCGUGAAGAUUUAUCAUGUUACCCAAAGGAAGCCAUGAUGCUGUUUUCUCGCAAAAUACCAAGGAAUUGGCGCCUUCCAGCAUUGGGUGAAUAUGUAGUGGAAGAAACGGAGGGAGGUUUGCCAGAUCCCAGGCAAAGCAUCAUGCCAUCUAGGAGGGGGUGUGGACCCUGCGCCAUAACAAAGCUAGUAUUUAGAGAGCACUUACUGUAUGCAACUAAACACUUUAUGUGUCUUAACUCACCUAAUCCCCACAACAACCUGGAGGAAAACACUAUUAUCUCCAUCUUACAGAGCAGGAACAGGCCUGCCCAAGUAGGUCAGAGUCAGCCGGCAUCUAAACCUAACUUGCCUGGCUCCAGAGUUAGGUUCCUACUCAUCAGGAGGCUUUCUAAACUUGUAACGUCGACAACAAAACGCCCAAGUACAGGAAAGAGAGAUGUCUAACCAAACAGCGUGUUAAGAGGUUUUAUGGAUGGCUGACAGAUGUGAAAUCUUCAAGGUCAACAGGUGGAGAAAGGAUCUGGACAGAAAUAGACUCUCAGGGGAAGGAGCAGCCUGACCUGACAGAAAGAAGCAGCAGUUUGGGUGUGUGCCAAUCGAUGAUGACAGCACGCGUGGGAGGAAUGCUGCAGAGAGAGGCUUCGCUAGAUCCUUCAAGGUCCUUUAGGGCUAGGCUUUCCCGGCCCCGGUUAUCUACCGGGGCUGGGGGUUGGUGUUAAAAUUCUCAAGCUAGUAUGUGCUCAUCCCUUACUUUCUGCAGGGUCUCCCCUGCCAGCGAUCAAGGAAGACAACACAUCCAGGUUUCUUUCUGGGGAAGCACUGAGUGGAGACAGUCAAGGUCACCCACGAUUGGGUACAGUGUGUCCAAGCGGACCACUAGAGUCCUGUGCCAGACACUUGGCUGUCAGCCGGGCCUGGCCAACGCAGGAACGUGCGCACCGCCGGAGCCUGGCGGCGACAGUCACCUGCUCAGCGGGUACAGAAAGACCUGUUCUCUGCUUUCCCCACGGGCGGGCCACCGCCCCAGGUCUCCAGGCCCCAGAAGGUCAGGAGGUUGUCCUCUGGGGACUCCCGCCACCCGCACCAUCCUCAUCACCCCAAGGAAUAAAAGCCUCAGCGAUUGGAACACGCUACGCCAAUCAUCCUAGCCUCUGCCCACACCUCCUCCGGUGUACAUUGCAUUGGUUGCAUCAUACAAGCCUCCGAUAAGAUCCUCUUCUCGAAUUGGCUAGUAGAGGCUUGCCCCGCCUAACCCUUCUUAGUCGGAAGGUUGUGAUUGGUUAAGCGCGUUGCCAAGCUCCGGACGCGGCUCGACCAUUGGAAGCCGCGGGCUGCCCCGCCCGCCGGCGAAGGUGAGAGUCUCCUCCAGUCACCGGACCCCGCACCGCACAGAGCUGCUCCCGGCUCGUUCUCGAGGUCUCGGCACAUUCUGUCGCGAUGGCGCCUCCAUCAGUCUUUGCCCAGGUUCCGCAAGCUCCUCCGGUUCUGGUCUUUAAGCUCACUGCGGACUUCCGGGAUGAUCCAGAUCCCCGCAAGGUUAACCUCGGCGUGGGAGCGUACCGCACAGAUGAAUCUCAGCCCUGGGUUUUGCCAGUAGUGAGGAAGGUCGAACAGAAGAUUGCUAACGACAACAGCCUCAACCACGAGUACCUGCCCAUCCUGGGCCUGGCAGAGUUCCGGAGCUGUGCUUCUCGCCUAGUUCUUGGGGACAACAGCCUGGCUAUCAGGGAGAAUCGGGUUGGAGGGGUGCAGUCUUUGGGAGGGACAGGCGCUCUUCGGAUUGGAGCUGACUUCUUAGGGCGAUGGUACAAUGGUACAGAUAACAAGAACACACCAAUCUACGUAUCAUCACCAACCUGGGAGAACCAUAAUGCUGUGUUUUCUGCCGCCGGUUUUAAGGACAUUCGGCCCUAUUGCUACUGGGAUGCGGAGAAGAGAGGACUGGACCUCCAGGGUUUCCUGAAUGAUCUGGAGAAUGCCCCCGAGUUCUCCAUCUUUGUCCUCCAUGCCUGUGCGCACAACCCAACAGGGACCGACCCGACUCCAGAGCAGUGGAAGCAGAUCGCUGCUGUCAUGCAGAUGAGAGAGUGGGGAAUCUGACCGUGGUCGGAAAAGAGUCUGACAGCGUCCUGCGGGUCCUUUCCCAGAUGGAGAAGAUUGUACGAAUCACCUGGUCCAAUCCCCCAGCCCAAGGAGCUCGGAUUGUGGCCGCCACCCUCUCUGACCCGGAGCUCUUUAAGGAGUGGAAAGGUAACGUGAAGACAAUGGCUGACCGGAUUCUGACCAUGAGAUCCGAACUCAGGGCAAGACUAGAAGCUCUCAAGACCCCCGGGACUUGGUCUCACAUCACUGAGCAGAUUGGAAUGUUCAGUUUCACCGGCUUGAACCCCAAGCAGGUCGAGUAUUUGGUCAACGAGAAGCAUAUCUAUCUCCUGCCGAGUGGUCGGAUCAACAUGUGCGGCUUGACCACCAAGAACCUAGAUUACGUCGCUACCUCCAUCCAUGAAGCCGUCACCAAAAUCCAGUGAAGAAACACCUCGUAGUUCACGCCACCAAAGCAGUUCUUGUCACACCUUUCCUGCCUGCGCAAACCUAGCUGUACCUAGCUGUACACGUCCUUUAUUAGAGAUGACCGAGGGGAAGCAGCUGCUGUUUAGCUGACCCCCCACAUGAGAAGACGUUUCUUGAAAUGAGCCCCGGGGGCUCUGGGGUUAGAGCCUGUUGGAAACCAGAGUAGAUUAAAGUUAUUUAAGAAUAAAAAGAACUUUGGCUAUGAGAUGUAAUCACCUUGCCUUCCUCUCUAGCAUUCUGCAGGAGUGAUGCCCACGGAGCCUUGGGCUUCUGCGUGUUGCCUGACUGUACAAAAGUCUAGUCUCAAAGAUCAAGUUGGUCUGAGGAGCCGGAUGUGACUGUGGGUGUUGGCUGGGGCAUUAAAACUCAUCAUCGCCACCCAUCUCUGUCUCUCGUCACCCUGAUCUCCCCGCACGGUUGUGUCCCUGGUCUGGAACAUUAGUUUUUUUAAGGCAACUGUGGCCAAUAUUUAUAUCAUGACAUACAAAUGGAUUUACGUAUUUGACUGAAAUGAAAGUUCCACUAAACGGUAUUUGCUCUUGUGAUAUGUGGCACAUUGUGAUAUUUUCUUAGUCUGUUCUGUUUUAUUUAAAAAAUAAAACUGCUGAUCAAGACAAGUGAAA